GGAUGGAUGGCCGAGUGGUUAUGGCGUGUGACUCAAGCUUAGCAUAAUAGCUUCCUUCUCCUCAGAGUUGGUGUAUUCUCAUAGGGAAACCUGCGGGGGUUCGAAUCCCCCUCCAUUCA
Molecule: non-coding RNA, 119 nt
Organism: Peziza echinospora
Lineage: Eukaryota; Fungi; Ascomycota; Pezizomycetes; Pezizales; Pezizaceae
Source: the annotation of a GenBank genome assembly